RNAcentral lists this unclassified non-coding RNA (272 nucleotides) under Mycobacterium sp. BP:C2:TW. RNAcentral describes it as "16S-23S ribosomal RNA intergenic spacer". The record is from RNAcentral. Lineage: Bacteria; Bacillati; Actinomycetota; Actinomycetes; Mycobacteriales; Mycobacteriaceae.
CACGAGAAGCACUCCAAUUGGUGGGGUGCAAGCCGUGAGGGGUCAUCGUCUGUAGUGGACGAAGACCGGGUGCACGACAACAAGCAAAGCCAGACACACUAUUGGGUCCUGAGGCAACACCCUCGGGUGCUGUCCCCCCAUCUUGGUGGUGGGGUGUGGUGUUUGAGAACUGGAUAGUGGUUGCGAGCAUCAAAAUGUAUGCGUUGUCGUUCGCGGCAACGUGUUCUUUUUGUGCAAUUUUUAUUCUUUGGUUUUUGUAGUGUUUGUAAGUG